GGCGCUAUGGUGUAGUGGCACCACAUUGGAUUUUGAUUACAUUAUUCCAACAACCCAGGUUCGAACCCUGGUAGUGCCU
This is a non-coding RNA of Armillaria borealis, 79 nucleotides long. Lineage: Eukaryota; Fungi; Basidiomycota; Agaricomycetes; Agaricales; Physalacriaceae. The record is from the annotation of a GenBank genome assembly.